This 4659-nucleotide ribosomal RNA is filed under the name Triticum aestivum (bread wheat). Its description in RNAcentral is "partial small subunit ribosomal RNA". The record is from RNAcentral. Lineage: Eukaryota; Viridiplantae; Streptophyta; Magnoliopsida; Poales; Poaceae.
AUGUUCCGAUUUAUCGGCGCUUGGCUACAGGCGGUGCUCCGGUAUAUUGCUGCGUGGCUUCCGGCGGCGGCGGAUGAUUCUGACGCCGCUGUUUCGUCGCCUCAUGCGGCGAUGGAUUUCCCCGUCACGGCUUCGCUCGGCCCCCUCCACCGGCCGCUCCAUUCCUUCAGGGCCACCAAGAACAACCUGCCGGAUGGGGUCAGCGAGGGCCAGGUCCGGCGCCUCGAGGCAGAUCUGGAGACACUGUUCACCGAGCUCAAGAUCGUGUCGGAAGCGGACGACCCAAGCUUCACGGCCAGGUGCUGGAUGAAGGAGGUGCGGGAGCUCCGUUACGACGCGGAGGACUUCUUCAACGAGGUCCCGCACUCCUCCGCCGGCGCCGGCGACGGUGCCACCCGCAGAGGCGCUCUCCUCACCACCAUCCUCUCGAUUCCCAGUAGGCUGAAGCGGCGGCGGCAGGUUGCAGAAGCUUUCUCAGAUCUGCGGGCUCGCGUGAAGGAUGCGAGUCAAAGACGCCAAAGUUUCCAGCUUGGUCCAGCGACCAUGAGAGAUGAAUUUGGGAAAGCCAACGCCAGCCGCUCCCCCAAAUUUAUCGGUCUUGAGGAGUCCAUGGACAAGCUUGUCAAACUGAUGGCUUUUGACAGUGAAGAUGCAGAGCAACAAGUUCAGGUGGUAUCUAUCGUUGGAUCUGCAGGUGUUGGCAAAACCACACUUGCCAGGACCUUCUAUUGUAAAUUUGGAUGGAAAUUCCAGUGUCGGGCUUUUGUGCGGGUGUCGCGAAAUCCAGACAUGAGGAGGAUGCUUUCCAGCAUGCUCUCACAAAUUAAGGCGCCACCGGUCCAUGGCUUUCCCGAUGUGCAGGACCUUAUUGACCAUAUCAGAGAAUAUCUGCAAUGCAAAAGAUACUUGAUUGUAAUUGAUGACUUAUGGGCCUCCUUGACAUGGGAUGUUAUUAGCCGUGCUUUUCCUGAUGGUGAUUGUUGCAGCAGAAUAAUAGUAACCACGGAAAUCGAGGAUGUAGCACUGGCAUGCAGUAGGUACCAGUUUAAGUACAUGUAUGAGAUGAGUCCUCUUAAUGGUGAUCAGUCAAGACAGUUAUUCCUUGGUAGAGUUUUUGAGUCUGAAAAUGAUUGUCCUCCAGAUUUCAAACAAGUUGCAUAUGAGAUUAUCCGGAAAUGUGGAGGUUUACCAUUAGCAACUGAAGAUAUAGCAAGCAUGUUAGCAUGUCAGCUAAACGUCGAUCAAUGGAAACAUGUAAGAGAUUCUUUACCCUCUUUGAGUUUGAGGACAAACCCUAGUUCUGAAGGGUUGAAAGAAGUUCUCAACAUUAUUUACAAUAACCUUUCGCCAAAUUUGAAGACAUGCUUGCUAUAUCUUGGUAUAUAUCCAGAGGGAUGGACUAUCAGCAAAGAUGAAUUGGUGAAGCAAUGGGUAACUGAAGAUUUUGUCCGCGAUGAGCAAGACAGAGAGAAAACUGCACGAGAUUAUUUUGAUAUACUUGUCAGUAGAGGAAUGAUCCAACCUGUAGAAAAAGAUUAUAAUGAUGAGGUGUUGACAUGUACAAUUCACCACAUGGUACUAGAUCUUAUCAGGUGCAAAUGUCUCGAGGAGAAUUUCAUCAUUAAUGUGAGCUGCUUUCAAACAACUCCAGGUCUUCCUGACAAGGUUCGUCGACUGUCUGUCCAAUUUGGUGGUGCAAAAUGUGCAAGUAUACCAGCAGACUUCAUGAUGACUCAAGUUAGAUCACUUGUUUAUUUUGGGUUCUAUAACUGUGUACCUUCCAUUGUGGAAUAUAAGCUCCUUCGAGUUCUGAUUCUUCAUAUCUGGGCUGAUGAAAGCAAAAUAUUUGACCUCACUAGAAUUAGUGAACUGUUUCAGCUGAGGUAUCUGAAAAUUGAUUGUAACAUCACUGUCCAUCUGCCAGAUGAGAUUCGACAGCUAAAAUUCUUGGAGACACUGGAGCUGCAUGCACCAGUAAAUGAUAUGCCAUCGGAUAUUAGUUGCUUGCCAUUACUUCGCACUCUGGGCUAUUUUGAUCUCAGCAAGAACGCAACAGAGACUGUACAGAGCCUUGGGGAGCUGAACAAUCUCGAAGACCUUCAUCUCACUUGGUGUAACAGUGCAGAGCCUGACAAUCUGAAGAACAAUAUGCAAUGCCUGGGCUCAAUUCUCGGGAAACUCAGCAACCUCAAGUCUUUAACUCUAGUACCUGCAGCCGCCUCUCAUGCAGAUGUUCUGGGCGACGCUGGUGGUGCAAGCGUGCAUAUUUCUGGCGAUGUCUUCAGCAGCGUGUCCUUUCCCCCAGCCCUUCUUCAGAGGCUUGAGCUAGGGCGCUGUUGCAUCUUUUCCAGCCUACCCGAGUGGACCAAAGAACUUGGCAAUCUCUGCGUUUUGAAGAUCUCAGUUAGGAAGCUGUUGAGUAAAGAUAUAGAUAUUCUCAAAGGAUUGCCAGCCCUCAUGGCUCUCUCGCUGUACGUCUGGACUGCCCCUGUAGGGAAGGUCAUCUUUGAUAACGAGGGAUUCUCGGUUCUCAAAUACUUCAAGUUCACGUGUGCUGCCCCAUGCGUGGCAUUUCUGAAAGGAUCAAUGCCUAGUGUCCGGGAGCUUAAGAUAGCAUUCAAUGCUAAUAGAAUGGAGCAAUACAGCCAGAUAUUUCCUGGCUUAGAGUACCUGAUAGAACUUAGAGAGAUCACUGCAGAAGUUGGGGGCACUGGUACUGAUGAAUCCGAUAAAAGGUAUGCGGAGUCGGCAUUGAGUGGCGCCAUUGCCAAUCAUCCAUGCACUCCUAUAAUCAGAGUACAGUGUGUAGAUCAGAUUUUAUUUGGUGUCGUCACACAAGAACAAGAACACUGGACUCUGGACGAACAACAUGAGAUACAAGAGGAAUUGCUUGAUCCUCCCAUACCAGUACAAGAUCAGCCAGACAACAGCACUCCAGGCACUGAUGGUAAGGAUGAUUUCCAGAAGUUGCGCACAUACCUUCUAUUGCUUGGCAUCCUUGCCGCCACAGUCACCUACCAAGCUGGGACGAGUCCACCAGGAGGCUUUUGGGCAGAUAACAGUGAUGUGCAUACUGCUGGUGAUCCAAUUUUGGAGGUCAUCAGUCCCAAGCGCUACAAGGCAUUCUUUUAUUGCAAUGCCACAGCAUUUGUAGCAUCUUUGGUCGUCAUCAUCCUACUCCAGAGUCAGCUGAUUACCAUUCGUGCCAUCAAGCGUCGUGUACUGCAAACAGCGAUGGCACUGAUCCUCUUUGGUCUCAUGGGAGCCUAUGUUGCUGGAAGCAGCAGGAAGUUCUCCACAUCCAUAUAUGUGUUCGCCCAAGUCCUCGUAGUUUUCGCCUAUGUUGUACUUCAUACUCUAUAUGAGAGCAGAGCCGGGAAUACUGAGAGCACAGUAGGGAGUACUGGGACUUACAUGCCAGAAACCUUCCAAAAUCCUAGUUCUUCUGAACCUACUCCUGAAGAAAUAAAAGAUUUGCAGAAGAGGCGCAAGUUUCUGAUGUUGCUCGCAACUCUAGCAGCUUCUAUCACAUACCAAACUGGGAUGAGCCCACCAGGUGGCUUUUUGGCAGAUAACAGUGAUGUGCAUGCUGCUGGUGAUCCAAUUUUGGAGGUCAUCAGUCCCAAGCGCUACAAGGCAUUCUUUUAUUGCAAUGCCACAGCAUUUGUAGCAUCUUUGGUCGUCAUCAUCCUACUCCAGAGUCAGCUGAUUACCAUUCGUGCCAUCAAGCGUCGUGUACUGCAAACAGCGAUGGCACUGAUCCUCUUUGGUCUCAUGGGAGCCUAUGUUGCUGGAAGCAGCAGGAAGUUCUCCACAUCCAUAUAUGUGUUCGCCCAAAUCCUCGUAGUUUUCGCCUAUGUUGUACUUCAUAUUCUGUUGCUUGUUAACAAGAGGCUAUGCAACGAUGGUCUGAGGCUACGUGCAUGCAUACUGGUUGUUCUGAUCAGCCUCAUGGGUGCUUUUGCUACUGGAAGCUGCAGAAAAGUGUCAACAUCUGGCUAUGUCAUUCUUGUUGUUCUUGCAGUGUUUGUCUAUGUCAUGAUUCAAGUCGCCAACACAAACAAGGGACGGAGUGCAGGUGAACAAACGGAAAGAUCGAAGGAGCAAGAACAAGAACACCGGAUUAUGGAAAAACAACACGAGACACAAGUGGAAUUGCUUGAUCCUCUUGCCGAUCACCUUAUUUCCACUCCAAGCACACAAAUACAAACCAGAGACGGUGGGCAGAAUGGAGGAGCAGAGAGAUCAAUGGAGGUGCUGACACUAGAACAACACCACAUGACUCUGGUCAAACAACACAAGAUUCAAGAGGAAUUGCUUGACCCUCUUCCCGAACUUCUUUCCACCUCAAGCACACAAACACAAACAAGAGAUGGAGUUCAGGGUGAACAAAUUGAAGGAUCGAUGGGGGUCCUAACACAUGAACAUGGGCACUUAUCUCUGGAAAAACAACAAGAGAUUCAAGAGGAAUUGCUUAAUCAAGCUCCUUCCGCUCCAAGCAGACAAACACAAGCAAGAAAUCAAGUGCAGGAUGGAGAAAUAGAGAGAUCGAUGGAGGUGUUUACACAAGAGCAAGAACAGUGUACCGUGGAUGUUGAGUAUAUAUGUGUUGCAUGUAGUAUGUAUAUUGUGGCCCGCCUCCUAGUUAUGUAUAGUUGA